GACGAACGCUGGCGGCGUGCUUAACACAUGCAAGUCGUACGGUAAGGCCCUUUCGGGGGUACACGAGUGGCGAACGGGGGAGUAACACGUGAGUAACCGUCCCACAACUUUGGGAUAACGCUAGGAAACUGGAGCUAAUACUGGAUAUGUGCUCCUUCUUCAUGGUGGGGGUUGGAAAGUUCCGGCGGGUGUGGAUGGACUCUCGGGCUAUCUGCUUGUUGCUGUGGUAGUGGACUACCAAGGCGGCUACGGGUGGCCGGCCUGCGUGGGUGACCGGCGACAUUGGGACUGAGAGACGGCCGAGGCAGCUACGGGAGGCAGCAGUGGGGAAUAUUGAACAAUGGGCGCAGGCCUGGUGCAGCAGCGCCGCGUGCGGGAUGACGGCCUUAGGGUUGAAAACCACUUUCAGAAGGGACGGAGCUUUUUGUGACGGUACCUGCAGAAGAAGCACCGGCUAACUACGUG
RNAcentral lists this ribosomal RNA (465 nucleotides) under uncultured bacterium. RNAcentral describes it as "partial 16S ribosomal RNA". It matches the Rfam family "Bacterial small subunit ribosomal RNA", at positions 28 to 507 of the family's 1533-position model. The record is from RNAcentral.